GUGCUCACUUUAGCAGCACAUAUACUAAAAUUGGAAUGAUACAGAAUAGAUUAGCAUGGCCCUUGAGAAAGGAUGACACACAAAUUCAUGAAGCAUUACAUAUUUUU
Molecule: small nuclear RNA, 107 nt
Filed under: Spermophilus dauricus (Daurian ground squirrel)
Lineage: Eukaryota; Metazoa; Chordata; Mammalia; Rodentia; Sciuridae
Source: RNAcentral